Molecule: ribosomal RNA, 637 nt
Filed under: uncultured bacterium
Lineage: Bacteria
Description: bacterial SSU rRNA
Rfam family: Bacterial small subunit ribosomal RNA
Source: RNAcentral
GUGACUAAUACCGCAUAAUAUUCUUGGAAGGCAUCUUCCGAGAAGGAAAGGAAAUAUUCGGUAAAAGAUGGGCCCGCAUCUGAUUAGCUAGUUGGUGAGAUAACAGCCCACCAAGGCGACGAUCAGUAGCCGACCUGAGAGGGUGACCGGCCACAUUGGGACUGAGACACGGCCCAAACUCCUACGGGAGGCAGCAGUGGGGAAUAUUGCACAAUGGGGGGAACCCUGAUGCAGCAACGCCGCGUGAAGGAAGACGGUUUUCGGAUUGUAAACUUCUAUCAAUAGGGAAGAAAGAAAUGACGGUACCUAAAUAAGAAGCCCCGGCUAACUACGUGCCAGCAGCCGCGGUAAUACGUAGGGGGCAAGCGUUAUCCGGAAUUACUGGGUGUAAAGGGAGAGUAGGCGGCAAGGUAAGCGAUAUGUGAAAGCCUUAGGCUUAACCUGAGGAUUGCAUAACGAACUAUCUAGCUAGAGUACAGGAGAGGAAAGCGGAAUUCCUAGUGUAGCGGUGAAAUGCGUAGAUAUUAGGAAGAACACCAGUGGCGAAGGCGGCUUUCUGGACUGAAACUGACGCUGAGGCUCGAAAGCGUGGGGAGCGAACAGGAUUAGAUACCCUGGUAGUCCACGCUGUAAACGA